GACGAACGCUGGCGGCGUGCUUAACACAUGCAAGUCGAACGGAAAGGCCCUGCUUUUGUGGGGUGCUCGAGUGGCGAACGGGUGAGUAACACGUGAGUAACCUGCCCUUGACUUUGGGAUAACUUCAGGAAACUGGGGCUAAUACCGGAUAGGCGCUCCUGCUGCAUGGUGGGGGUUGGAAAGUUUCGGCGGUUGGGGAUGGACUCGCGGCUUAUCAGCUUGUUGGUGGGGUAGUGGCUUACCAAGGCUUUGACGGGUAGCCGGCCUGAGAGGGUGACCGGCCACAUUGGGACUGUGAUACGGCCGAGACUCCUACGGAAGGCAGCAGUGGGGAAUAUUGCACAAUGGGCUAAAGCCGUAUGCAGCAACACCGCGUGCGGGAUGACGGCCUUCGGUUUGGAAACCGCUUUCGCCUGUGACGAAGCGUGAGUGACGGUAAUGGGUAAAGAAGCACCGGCUAACUACGUG
RNAcentral lists this ribosomal RNA (468 nucleotides) under uncultured bacterium. Its description in RNAcentral is "partial 16S ribosomal RNA". It matches the Rfam family "Bacterial small subunit ribosomal RNA", at positions 28 to 507 of the family's 1533-position model. The record is from RNAcentral.